GGAUUGUGGCUCAGUGGUAGAGCGCUCACCUAGCAUGUGCAAGUCCCUGGGUUCAAACCUUAGCACCA
This 68-nucleotide transfer RNA is filed under the name Marmota monax (woodchuck). RNAcentral describes it as "tRNA.Ala". The record is from RNAcentral. Lineage: Eukaryota; Metazoa; Chordata; Mammalia; Rodentia; Sciuridae.